Molecule: ribosomal RNA, 253 nt
Filed under: uncultured soil bacterium
Lineage: Bacteria
Description: partial 16S ribosomal RNA
Rfam family: Bacterial small subunit ribosomal RNA
Source: RNAcentral
AGGACGAACGCUGGCGGCGUGCUUAACACAUGCAAGUCACGGGGGCUCGCAAGAGCAACCGGCGAACGGGUGCGUAACACGUGAACAACCUGCCCUCGUGUGGGGGAUAGCCGGGCUAACGCCCGGGUAAUACCGCAUACGUUCCUUUGGGGGAGUCCCCGAGGGAGGAAAGCUCCGGCGCACGGGGAGGGGUUCGCGGCCUAUCAGCUCGUUGGCGGGGUAAUGGCCCACCAAGGCGACGACGGGUAGCUGG